Tachyglossus aculeatus (Australian echidna) is the source of this 2040-nucleotide long non-coding RNA. RefSeq lists it as uncharacterized. The record is from RefSeq and is a predicted model, not a curated record. The transcript is spliced from 8 exons. Lineage: Eukaryota; Metazoa; Chordata; Mammalia; Monotremata; Tachyglossidae.
CCGCUCUCUAUGGUCCUCCGGCCGUCACGUGACUCGGGCCACAUUUGAAGAGGAGAUUUGGAAAAAGGAACGCUUAUGCAGGACAACGGGGACAGCAGGAUGUCAGGAGAGGAUGAGACCAUUUCAUAAGGUAGUUAAGCACCUCCCGUUAUGGAGAAAAAAGUGCCUGCAUUUCCAGUGGUCAAGAGCAACGCAACAUGAGCUCAGAGGAAAUGUGCAAAGAGUACCUACCUACUUCCUCCUGAAGACUACCUACAGCAGUGAGGACCCUGCCGCCAACCCAGAAAGCUGACCGUAUAUACGGACUCCAAAGAGAAUUCCAGAUAUAAAUAUUUACAACACUUUUGAAACUGCGCACAUGCUGGAAGAUUCAAACCUGCCACGAAGUUGUUCGGUCUCCAUCAAAUCCACCUGGACGGAUCCAGACCUAUGCUGAGCCAAACUAAAGCUGUGCUCCGGCCAUCCCGGUUUUCUUGAAGACUCUUUUGGGAGCCGUUUGGGAGCCGUUUGACUGAAUCAAUUUAAGGAUUGUGAUGAGCCAGCCUACAAGAGAUCCCAUGACCAAGAUCACAGAAGAUCAUGGGUCUAGCUACCUGUGGAGUCCACGGCAUGAGCCAGACACUUUGGCCCAGGUUUUCUUCAGCCUGUAGAUCGCGCUUCUGUUCAAGGCCGAGGUGAUCUCCAGCACCCCGUUGUAAUCGUGCAGACAGCGGCAGAUGUCAGCUACCGCCACCCACUUCUCAAUCGAGUUCGCCCGAGAGCUGACAUCAGCGUAGUUCAUGAUUUGGGAGGCUACUAGGUUACUCAUCUGGCACAGAGCCAAAAGAAGGUAAGAUUUUACAGGUUUGAAAUUUGUUAACACGAAAAAAACUCUCCCAGCAAUGAAGAGGAUCUAUUUCUGUAGGCGGUAACCUCAAAAACAUCAUGCCUCAGUUGGGGCCCCAUCUUUCCUAGGUGAGUUUUCCUGCUCUCUCCACCAUCCCCCUGCUGUGCUUCCUUGGAGAAUAAGCACAUAGUGACCGGCCAGCUUUCUGAGGCGGCGGGCUGCUCCCCCACCUUCUUCUCAAUGGUCCAGGCAACUGGAAAAUGAGACUUCUUCCUUCCCAAAUCCAUACAAAUAGAUCUGUGGCGCCUUAGUACAAAGUAAGCGCUCAGUAAAUGUGACUUUUGAAACCCAGGUCCGCUUCCCAGAAAGUCAGAAACAGUGUAGGUCCAACCGCUACGGCUCUUCUCCAAGUGGAUGUUGUGUGGAGGACGAUAGGACUCUACUAAACCUCAGCAGCGGGGCCUUAGCUUGGCAGCCUGUCAGGAGGGUUGGUGCCCUUCCGGGGGCUUUGAUUUCUGUGACCACAAUGUCCCGGGGCCCAAGAAGAGAGGGGAGCUGGAGCCAACCUGGCUUCCCUGGGAUCAACAGGUGCGGAUCGCAGCUAAUGAGAUGGUUCCCUCAGAGGGGAGGUCCGCCCAGAUUGGCUGGGAAUAUGCUAGCUAUGCACCGCCUGGGGUGGGAAGCCUGGAUCGGCCAGAUAUCCUGGAAAAUUGGCACCCUGGAGAUCAUUUCUUUUGCGAGAUGGGACCCCCUCCCACCCACACUGUGCUAUGCCCACUUUGUGAGGGCCAGUAAUGCCAUGAGGAACCCCCUAGAAAUAUACUAGAUACUAGUAAAGAUACUGGAAAUAUAAGUAUCCCCUACUGUUGACCUAGAAUAGAGCUCAGUGACCCCCUUGGGCUGAGUAAGCGUGACUGACCUAUAGGUGUGUCCCUUAAGGACCUGCUGCUCGGUGUUUACCUGCGUUAUCCUCAAAAACAGGUUACAUCGGGUUUACCCAUGUUUCUUUCUCUUUGACAAAGCUGUGUUCUAGGUGUUAGUGUUGGGGCUCAUGGCCAGAGAACCCUGAUGUCUUCCCAGUGAGUUGGGACAGCCACGAGUGGCUUCAAGGAGCCACUGUGUUGAAUGUUGGCAACCUGAUCCUUUCUGUACGGGUUUCUGCUCCUCGGAUAUUGUGAACCAGAAGGCUAAAUAAAGACUCUCACAUUCUUAUC